RNAcentral lists this ribosomal RNA (696 nucleotides) under Mucor circinelloides. Its description in RNAcentral is "partial 28S ribosomal RNA". It matches the Rfam family "Eukaryotic large subunit ribosomal RNA", at positions 66 to 669 of the family's 3401-position model. Lineage: Eukaryota; Fungi; Mucoromycota; Mucoromycetes; Mucorales; Mucoraceae. The record is from RNAcentral.
UAACAAUGAUUUCCCUAGUAACGGCGAGUGAAGAGGAAAGAGCUCAAAGUUGGAAACUGUUUGGCUUAGCUAAACCGUAUUGUAAACUGUAGAAACAUUUUCCUGGCACGCCGGAUUAAUAAGUCCUUUGGAACAAGGCAUCAUGGAGGGUGAGAAUCCCGUCUUUGAUCCGAGUAGUUGUCUUUUGUGAUAUGUUUUCAAAGAGUCAGGUUGUUUGGGAAUGCAGCCUAAAUUGGGUGGUAAAUCUCACCUAAAGCUAAAUAUUUGCGAGAGACCGAUAGCGAACAAGUACCGUGAGGGAAAGAUGAAAAGAACUUUGAAAAGAGAGUUAAACAGUAUGUGAAAUUGUUAAAAGGGAACCGUUUGGAGCCAGACUGGUUUGACUGUAAUCAACCUAGAAUUCGUUCUGGGUGCACUUGCAGUCUAUACCUGCCAACAACAGUUUGAUUUGGAGGAAAAAAUUAGUAGGAAUGUAGCCUCUCGAGGUGUUAUAGCCUACUAUCAUACUCUGGAUUGGACUGAGGAACGCAGCGAAUGCCUUUAGGCGAGAUUGCUGGGUGCUUUCGCUAAUAAAUGUUAGAAUUUCUGCUUCGGGUGGUGCUAAUGUUUAAAGGAGGAACACAUCUAGUAUAUUUUUUAUUCGCUUAGGUUGUUGGCUUAAUGACUCUAAAUGACCCGUCUUGAAACACGGACCAA